UGAUCCAGCCAUGCCGCGUGCGGGAAGAAGGCCUUCGGGUUGUAAACCGCUUUUGUCGGGGAAGAAACUGCUCGACCUAAUACGUCGCGGUAAUGACGGUACCUGAAGAAUAAGCACCGGCUAACUACGUGCCAGCAGCCGCGGUAAUACGUUAGGGUGCAAGCGUUAAUCGGAAUUACUGGGCGUAAAGCGUGCGCAGGCGGUCAUGCAAGACAGAUGUGAAAUCCCCGAGCUCAACCUGGGAACUGCAUUUGUGACUGCAUGGCUUGAGUGCGGCAGAGGGGGAUGGAAUUCCGCGUGUAGCAGUGAAAUGCGUAGAUAUGCGGAGGAACACCGAUGGCGAAGGCAAUCCCCUGGGCCUGCACUGACGCUCAUGCACGAAAGCGUGGGGAGCAAACAGGAUUAGAUACCCUGGUAGUCCACGCCCUAAACGAUGUCAACUGGUUGUUGGAAGGGUUUCUCUUCAGUAACGAGGCUAACGCGUGAAGUUGACCGCCUGGGGA
Molecule: ribosomal RNA, 503 nt
Filed under: uncultured Burkholderiales bacterium
Lineage: Bacteria; Pseudomonadati; Pseudomonadota; Betaproteobacteria; Burkholderiales
Description: bacterial SSU rRNA
Rfam family: Bacterial small subunit ribosomal RNA
Source: RNAcentral